RNAcentral lists this ribosomal RNA (424 nucleotides) under uncultured bacterium. RNAcentral's name for it is "bacterial SSU rRNA". It matches the Rfam family "Bacterial small subunit ribosomal RNA", at positions 355 to 796 of the family's 1533-position model. The record is from RNAcentral.
UGGGGAAUAUUGGACAAUGGGGGAAACCCUGAUCCAGCAAUGCCGCGUGAGUGAAGAAGGCCUUCGGGUUGUAAAGCUCUUUUGUCAGGGAAGAUAAUGACGGUACCUGACGAAUAAGCUCCGGCUAACUUCGUGCCAGCAGCCGCGGUAAUACGAAGGGAGCUAGCGUUGUUCGGAAUUACUGGGCGUAAAGGGCGCGUAGGCGGCCGCGUAAGUCAGAUGUGAAAUCCCCGGGCUUAACCUGGGAACUGCAUUUGAUACUGCGUGGCUAGAGGAUGAGAGAGGAAAGUGGAAUUACGAGUGUAGAGGUGAAAUUCGUAGAUAUUCGUAAGAACACCAGUGGCGAAGGCGGCUUUCUGGCUCAUUACUGACGCUAAGGCGCGAAAGCGUGGGGAGCAAACAGGAUUAGAUACCCGUGUAGUCC